UGGGGAAUAUUGGACAAUGGGGGGAACCCUGAUCCAGCCAUGCCGCGUGUGUGAAGAAGGCCUUAUGGUUGUAAAGCACUUUAAGCGAGGAGGAGGGUACUGGUAUUAAUACUACCAGGUACUGGACGUUACUCGCAGAAUAAGCACCGGCUAACUCUGUGCCAGCAGCCGCGGUAAUACAGAGGGUGCGAGCGUUAAUCGGAUUUACUGGGCGUAAAGCGUGCGUAGGCGGCUGAUUAAGUCGGAUGUGAAAUCCCUGAGCUUAACUUAGGAAUUGCAUUCGAUACUGGUCAGCUAGAGUAUGGGAGAGGAUGGUAGAAUUCCAGGUGUAGCGGUGAAAUGCGUAGAGAUCUGGAGGAAUACCGAUGGCGAAGGCAGCCAUCUGGCCUAAUACUGACGCUGAGGUACGAAAGCAUGGGGAGCAAACAGG
RNAcentral lists this ribosomal RNA (430 nucleotides) under Pseudomonadota bacterium. RNAcentral describes it as "Proteobacteria bacterium partial 16S ribosomal RNA". It matches the Rfam family "Bacterial small subunit ribosomal RNA", at positions 355 to 776 of the family's 1533-position model. The record is from RNAcentral. Lineage: Bacteria; Pseudomonadati; Pseudomonadota.